Molecule: ribosomal RNA, 283 nt
Filed under: uncultured bacterium
Lineage: Bacteria
Description: partial 16S ribosomal RNA
Rfam family: Bacterial small subunit ribosomal RNA
Source: RNAcentral
UAGUGAGUUUGAUCCUGGCUCAGGAUGAACGCUGGCGGUCUGCUUAACACAUGCAAGUCGAACACGAAGUAGAAAUACUUGAGUGGCGGACGGGUGAGUAACGCGUGAGAAUCUGCCUUCGUGGUCGGGGACAACCACUGGAAACGGUGGCUAAUACCGGAUAUGCCUAUGGGUAGAAAGAUUAAUUGCCAGAAGAAGAGCUCGCGUCUGAUUAGCUAGUUGGAGAGGUUAAAGGCUCACCAAGGCAUCGAUCAGUAGCUGGUCUGAGAGGACGAUCAGCCAC